This 395-nucleotide ribosomal RNA is filed under the name uncultured bacterium. RNAcentral's name for it is "bacterial SSU rRNA". It matches the Rfam family "Bacterial small subunit ribosomal RNA", at positions 521 to 916 of the family's 1533-position model. The record is from RNAcentral.
UAAGACAGAGGUGGCAAGCGUUGUUCGGAAUUACUGGGCUUAAAGGGCGCGUAGGUGGUGGUAUAAGUCUGGGGUGGAAGAUUAGGGCUUAACCCUAAAAUUGCCUUGGAAACUGUAUCACUUGAGUCAGACAGGGGAUGGCGGAAUUCCCAGUGUAGCGGUGAAAUGCGUAGAUAUUGGGAGGAAGGCCGGUGGCGAAGGCGGCCAUCUGGGUCUGAACUGACACUGAGGCGCGAAAGCGUGGGGAGCAAACAGGAUUAGAUACCCUGGUAGUCCACGCCCUAAACGGUGGGUACUAGGUGUAGGGCUCGUAAGGGUUCUGUGCCGCAGGGAAACCAUUAAGUACCCCGCCUGGGGAGUACGGCCGCAAGGUUGAAACUUAAAGGAAUUGACGG